GGAUCCAGACUUUGAUCCUGGCUCAGGAUGAACGCUGGCGGCAUGCCUAAGACAUGCAAGUCGAACGAGAUGGCCCAGUGAAGGUUGAGUGCUUGCACGAGACUGAAUCUGGAUUCCCAUCUAGUGGCAGACGGGUGAGUAACACGUGGGUGACCUACCUUUUCGUUGGGGAUAACAGUUGGAAACGAUUGCUAAUACCGAAUAAAAUGUAAGAGUCAAUUUUACAUUGAAAGGAGCCUUUAAAGCUUCGCGAUUAGAUGGGCCUGCGGCGUAUUAACUAGUUGGUGAGGUAAUGGCUUACCAAGGUGACGAUGCGUAGCCGAACUGAGAGGUUGAUCGGCCACAUUGGGACUGAGACACGGCCCAAACUCCUACGGGAGACAGCAGUUAGGAAUAUUCGUCAAUGGAGGAAACUCUGAACGAGCAAUGCCGCGUGAGUGAUGAAGGUCUUAUAGAUUGUAAAACUCUGUUGUAUGGAAAAAACGGCUAGGUUAGGAAAUGAACUUAGUGUGAUGGUACCAUACCAGAAAGCCCCGGCUAACUACGUGCCAGCAGCCGCGGUAAUACGUAGGGGGCGAGCGUUAUCCGGAUUUAUUGGGCGUAAAGCGUGUGUAGGCGGUUUAUUAAGUUUAAGAUUAAAGCCCGGGGCUCAACUCCGGUAAGUCUUAAAAACUGGUAGACUUGAGUACGGUAGAGGCAAACGGAAUUUCUAGUGUAGCGGUGAAAUGCGUAGAUAUUAGAAGGAACACCAGUGGCGAAAGCGGUUUGCUGGGCCGUUACUGACGCUGAGGCACGAAAGCGUGGGGAGCAAAUAGGAUUAGAUACCCUAGUAGUCCACGCCGUAAACGAUGAGUACUAAGUGUUGGGGUUACCCAGUGCUGAAGCUAACGUAUUAAGUACUCCGCCUGAGUAGUACGGUCGCAAGGCUGCAACUCAAAUGAAUUGACGG
RNAcentral lists this ribosomal RNA (949 nucleotides) under uncultured Bacteroidota bacterium. RNAcentral describes it as "bacterial SSU rRNA". It matches the Rfam family "Bacterial small subunit ribosomal RNA", at positions 1 to 916 of the family's 1533-position model. The record is from RNAcentral. Lineage: Bacteria; Pseudomonadati; Bacteroidota.